GCGGCGGCGGCGGCGGGCCGGCCCCGCUCCUCCUCUCGGCGCCUCGCCGCUCCCUUCCCUCGCUGGCUCUUUCUCUCGCUCCCUCAUUUCUGUGUGGCUGGCCACCCCUCUCCCCAGUGCUGAGUGUCUGAGAGCCGUUGGCUGCUCUGAACCGUUUGGCUCCUUCCCUUAGUAACAGCUUUUACAUUCUGCCUCAAUUCCUCUUCAAUCUAAAUCACACACACACACAGAUAUUACUUUUUUUCCUCCUUCCUUGGGACUUAAUCUCUAAUCCCCCCCCCUUCUUUCCCCACCCUCCCCCUCCCCCCCCAGUCUCUGGCUUGGGAUAUAAUUGAAUAUCACAGCAGUAUUUGGUGGUUAUUUUUUUUCUUCCUCCUUCUGUUUUUUUUUCCUGUUUUUUUUUUCCUCCUCUUGGUGUGGACACCUCAGCUAAAAAAAUAUUAUACAUACAUAUAUGUGUAUAUAUAUAUAUACACACACAGACACACAUAUGCGUGUAUAUAUAUACCGAGCUGUAUAAAAAAAAAAGGAGGAGAGAAAAACAAGGGUGAAUUUCUUUUUUGCCUCCAUUCCAAAGGAAGGGGGGGGAGCAGCCACUCAGCCAUCAAUUGCAAGCAUCACCCUUCUGUGGCAAGAGGCACCUGA
RNAcentral lists this long non-coding RNA (645 nucleotides) under Apteryx rowi (Okarito brown kiwi). Its description in RNAcentral is "lncRNA (ENSARWG00000017193.1)". The record is from RNAcentral. Lineage: Eukaryota; Metazoa; Chordata; Aves; Apterygiformes; Apterygidae.